This 400-nucleotide unclassified non-coding RNA is filed under the name soil metagenome. RNAcentral describes it as "partial contains 5.8S ribosomal RNA, internal transcribed spacer 2, and large subunit ribosomal RNA". The stretch from base 1 to 122 matches the Rfam family "5.8S ribosomal RNA", at positions 35 to 154 of the family's 154-position model. The record is from RNAcentral.
GAUGAAGAACGUAGCGAAAUGCGAUACUUGGUGUGAAUUGCAGAAUCCCGUGAACCAUCGAGUCUUUGAACGCCAGUUGCGACUCAAGCCAUUAGGUUGAGGGCACGUCUGCCUGGGCGUCACAUAUCGUUGCCUGAUGCCAGUUUCCUCGUGAUGGGUGACUGUGCAGGGCGAAUGAUGGCUUCCCGUGAGCAUUGUUGCCUCAUGGUUGGUUGAAAAUUGAGUCCUUGGUAGGGAGCGCCGUGAUAGAUGGUGGUUGAGUGACGAACGAGACCCAAUCAUGUGAGACCCCUAUCGAAUUUGGCCUUCAUGACCCACAUGCGUCUUUGGAACGCUCAUGACGAGACCUCAGGUCAGGCGGGGCUACCCGCUGAGUUUAAGCAUAUCAAUAAGCGGAGGA